GACGAACGCUGGCGGCGUGCUUAACACAUGCAAGUCGUACGGUAAGGCCCUUUCGGGGGUACACGGGUGGCGACCGGGGGAGUAACACGAACGUAACCUGCCCACAACUUUAGGAUAACGCUAGGAUACUGAUGCUAAUACUGGAUCUGUGCUACUGCUGCAUGGGGGGGGUUGGAAAGCUCCGGCGGUUGUGGAUGGACUCGCGGGCUAUCGGCUUGCUGGUGGGGUAGUGGCCUACCAAGGCGGCGACGGGUAGCCGGCCUGCGAGGGUGACCGGCCAUCUUGGGACCGAGGUACGGCCCAGGCACCUACGGGUGGCAGCAGUGCGGAAUACUGCACGAGGGGCGCCAGCCUGAUGCAGCAACGCCGCGUGCGGUAUGACGGCCUUCGGGUUGUAGACCGCUUUCAGAAGGAACGAAGCUCUUUGUGACGGUACCUGCAGAAGAAGCACCGGCUAACUACGUG
Molecule: ribosomal RNA, 465 nt
Filed under: uncultured bacterium
Lineage: Bacteria
Description: partial 16S ribosomal RNA
Rfam family: Bacterial small subunit ribosomal RNA
Source: RNAcentral